AGCGAACGCUGGCGGCAGGCCUAAAACAUGCAAGUCGAACGCCUGUAGCAAUACAGGAGUGGCAGACGGGUGAGUAACACGUGGGAACGUACCCUUUGGUUCGGAACAACACAGGGAAACUUGUGCUAAUACCGGAUAAGCCCUUACGGGGAAAGAUUUAUCGCCAGAGGAUCGGCCCGCGUCUGAUUAGCUUGUUGGUGAGGUAACGGCUCACCAAGGCUACGAUCAGUAGCNGGUCUGAGAGGAUGAUCAGCCACACUGGGACUGAGACACGGCCCAGACUCCUACGGGAGGCAGCAGUUAGGAAUCUUGGACAAUGGGCGCAAGCCUGAUCCAGCCAUGCCGCGUGAGUGAUGAAGGCCUUAGGGUUGUAAAGCUCUUUCAGCGGGGAAGAUAAUGACGGUACCCGCAGAAGAAGCCCCGGCUAACUUCGUGCCAGCAGCCGCGGUAAU
This 452-nucleotide ribosomal RNA is filed under the name uncultured bacterium. Its description in RNAcentral is "bacterial SSU rRNA". It matches the Rfam family "Bacterial small subunit ribosomal RNA", at positions 29 to 524 of the family's 1533-position model. The record is from RNAcentral.